Stegodyphus dumicola is the source of this 432-nucleotide long non-coding RNA. The record is from RefSeq and is a predicted model, not a curated record. NCBI's taxonomy places the organism in Eukaryota, Metazoa, Arthropoda, Arachnida, Araneae, Eresidae.
GAAAUCUCCAGUUACAUUUCACGCUAUAAGAUAGGGGUACUAAAUCGAUGUAAAACUGAUAAAUAAUCGAUAAUAUUAAUUUAAAAUUUAAAUCACAUUAUGAAAGACAAAUACAGGUGGCUUUAAAUUGGGUGAAGUCCGGUUAUGAGGUUAUUGAGUUAAGGUAAAGCACAUGAAAUCUAUCUGCUUAAGAGAAAGGAUGCCUUCGAGGAGGACUUUCAAAAGGAAAUUGACUCAUGUUAACAUUACACAGAUGGAAAAGCAUGAAACUCCCACAUAGCCAACCCUUUCAUCAGGAUUUGAAGAUUGAUUCAUUUUUUGAAUAAUAAAAAUAUUGAAAUAUUCACUUCACAACCAGUAUAAUAAUGUUGCUCUGGAUGCUGGAAUGAUGAAACCAAGACUACAGGUUCCACUCUGAAAUAAGACUUGAAG